AACCGCCAGGUGCACCACUAGGUAGGCCUCAUUUGGGCCCGGAUGGAGGCGGUGCCUGAAGGGGCUGGGCCAGCAGGGUUGAACUAGAAAUGAGGGUGGGGGCUGGUCGGGGCCAGCCUUGCUGACUGUGGGAGCGUCCCGCAAGGAGGCCAGGCUAGUCCUACUGCCCCUCGGUGACCGCGGCGAGGUACAGGUACAGGGCCAGUCCCGGGAAAGGCCGGCCCUUUCAGAGAGGAGCUUUGGCCCUCUGACCCCGCGGAUGUCAGCGCUCAGGCGCUGCGGGGCUGGAAGAGGAACCCUAGGCGACAGGGCGUGAAAGAAGGCAACUGAAACACCCCACAGAUCAGACUAAUGCUUCAGGAGGCAGGAACGAAGAGGAACUUCAGCUGGGGGCUGGAUUGCAGGCACUGUCGCUGAGGGGAAAAGGGGUCUUGGAGCCAUUUUUCAAGACCAGGUGGUGAAUACCCGACAGUACUUGGAACAUGUGAAAGACUCCACAACAGGAAUGCAAGGUAGAGUGGUGAAGCUAUUCCCCAACCAUUUCCGAGUGACCUCUCGCCCUGAACCCCUCACGUAUAAGUACAACAUUGAUUACAUGCCAGAGGUUGAAGAGGGAAAAGUUCGUACAGAUCUGCUCUGCCAGCAUAAACACGUAAUUGAAGAGUGUCCCACAUUUGAUGGGAACUCUUUAUUACUGCCUCAUAAACUACAAAAGCAGGUGUAUCUCCGUGUUUGUUAGUAAAUCUUCAUAAUAUUCACUGCGGUUUCCACGAAAUCCAUUCUUCCAAUUUCUAGAAUUUCGAAGAUGAUGGAUUUGAAGCAAGUUGGUCGCAACUAUUACAACGAGAAUGAGGCCACGGAGUUCCUCAAUCAUAAAGUUUCAAGACCGCUUUCUUGGGGUAGGAAUACUCGUUUCCUCAAAUAUUGCUGGGACCACUGGAUAUCCACCUGGCCGUUCCUCACAGAAGAUACAAAAUUAACUCCAAUUUAUCCCCAAAAUUAACUAAAAAUAGACCUAAAUGUAUAACAAUAGAACCUAUCGAGUGGAUGCUAUUAAUUGGGAGGAGACUCCCAGAAGUACGUUUAAGAAAUCAGGUGGUGAGGAAAUCACCUUCAUAGACUACUACAAGGAGCAACAUGGUCUAGUGGUCACUGCCCUAACUCAGCCACUUUUGGUCAGCAAAGGCAAAUGGAAAAAGAGCCAACAGGACACGCCCCAUGAGCCUAUAAUGCUGGUUCCCGAGCUGUGCUACCUGACAGGUCUAACAGAUGAACUGCAUAAAGACUACAGAGUGAAGAGAGACAUGGCUGUGCAUACAAGGUUGGAUCCAGAAAAAAAGGCAGCAUGAAUUACAAAGAUUCACGAAUAUUGGACAAAAAAAUAAGAGUGCACAAAAGGAACUCCAACUUUGGGAUUUGAAAUUUGACCCCAACUUCGUGUCCUUCUCAGGAAGAAUUAUGAAAGAAGUAAGAAUUCUUCAAAGAAGCAGAGUGCUCAAGUUUGGACAUGUGUGAAAAUGUACAAGAAGCACGAGAAUUGAGAAGCACUUGACUUCUGAGUUCGGUUCCAUGUGGAAUAAAAACACAUGUGGCACCAUUUCUGUCAUCAGGAAAUCUCAGUCCUCCCAGAAUUAAAUUAAAACAUAAUCGGAUGAUGAAAUAGAACUGAGCCCCCUUUGAAAGGAGUUGGAAACCAGAGAAGAAUCUCCUAGAGGAGGAGUCCACUCUUCUGCAACCUCCUUUUUGCUGAUCAUGACUUGGACUGUUGUACGAGAUGUUGAAUUCAGUUUCUCCCAUUGAUUGGUUCAACCUCUCAGCUGCUGCUGUGGGUCUGAGCCACGGCCAGGUUGGAGUGGUUCUGUGAGUUGGGAGGAUCUCUCAGCCUAGACUGGCAAUUGCAGGCAGAAAUAGAAUGGGACCCACCCAUGUCAACUACACAUUGUCUAGUAGCUCUAUGGUAAAAAGAAACAAGUCAAAAAUCAAAUCAUUGUAAUGGGCAAAAUGGUACCACUUCAACGUGUAUUUGAUUUCAAAAAUACAUUGUUUUUAAAACCUCAACAAGAAAGUUUCUUCUUCUUCUUCUUCUUCUUCU
Long non-coding RNA from Neofelis nebulosa (Clouded leopard), 2092 nucleotides. RefSeq lists it as uncharacterized. The transcript is spliced from 13 exons. Lineage: Eukaryota; Metazoa; Chordata; Mammalia; Carnivora; Felidae. The record is from RefSeq and is a predicted model, not a curated record.